UUCUAUGUUCUUGCUUUGAAUGAUUAGCUCUGCUCACUAUUGUUGUAUUGUGCUGUGCUGAAAAAAAUUGAGACUGAAAUUGUCCUCAAAGCCUGAAAUUUUGAUAAUCCUUGUUAAUCUUUGGAAAAGUUUGUUGUUGCUGCUGCGUAAUUUUUUAUUGUGUUAUCCUAUUAAAUGUUUGCACGAAAGGUGCAACAAAGAACAAAAAGCUUCACAUAUUUUGCAUUUGCUUGCAGUAUAAUUUCAAGGACAGCUCUGUGAAAUUGGUGUAUAUACCCCAGCCACAUCCUCAGGCAUUUGCUUCUCUAUCUUGGAAAACAAUUGUCAAAGUGGCAUGUGGGACAAAUCACACAGUGGCGGUGGAUAAGAAUGGCUUUGUCUACUUCUGGGGAUUUGGUGGUUAUGGAAGGUUUGUGCAUAAUUUUUAGAUUGGUUGUCAAUGUUCUGUAAAAUACAAAGAAAUUACAACAAUCAUAUGAUUCAAUGCAAAUUGGUUUUAUUUAUUUAUUUGGCUGGUUCUGUGAAUUCUGCGUGUACUGCAGGUAUGCUUGACACAAAUUCAAUUCCCUUCCUUUUCUUGUAUAUAUAUACACUCAAAGAUAUGUCUAAAGUCUAAACAAAUUUAUUGCAUAAAGAACUUGAUCUUUGCAUAAAAAUACUUGAGAUUUCUAUAUUUUAGAGUCUGAUUAGUGAGAGCGUAAAAGGAAAGGGGAUCUUGACCAGUAUGAACUCUUGGAUGGGGAUAGAAAUAUAACCAGCAGACUUCUUGCAGUUAAGGACAACAGAGAGGGAAGCAAGCUUGAUUAUACCAAUGCCCAUAAUGCAGAAGACAAUUGAUUAUCUACUUUUUCUGCUAGAUCAUCCCUAUGUUGAGAGGUUUCUUAGUGCAUAUAAAUUCUUGUGAAAUAGGAAGAGAGCAAUUAGAAUGGACCUGAGUAUGUAGCACAUUUUCUAUCAAGGGGCUAUUCUAUGCUUGAACAGAUGAUACUUUUUUAUUUUUAACAAAAGUAUAAUAAAACCUAAUUUUUCUCGUAUUGAAUGAAGUGGAAAUAAUAUCUAUUUUUUCUGCAAGUUUCUUAUAUGCUAUAUUGAUUAAGACUCAAUACAAAUAUAUAUUGUGGCUACUUACAGAUAUAGUAGUUUCAUAUUUAUUUGUUGGUAAAAUAAUUUUCUAAAGGUUCUGAUGCCUUUUAUCAAGAAUCUGCAUCUGCUUGGUGAUGUUUGUAAGAACAAUAUCUGGUGAUGGUUAAAAGUUUAAAACUCAUGAGGCUAUUUAUUUUUGUGGUUUCAGAUCCAAUUACACAUCAUUGCAAUGCAUGAAUUAUGUGAAUACACAAAAGGAGAAGGAUUUUCUGCGGGCUUUGAUGCUCACUUCAAUAUUGAACAUAUGAACAUAACUUCGGUUGAAUUGUUUCAGAUGUAUGAUGAUUCACAGAAAGAAAAGAAUACUUGUUCCUACCAAAAAAAGUUUCGAGGCUAUUAUGCUCUCCUUAAAUUGGAUAAGCAUCCUGGUUAU
Arachis duranensis is the source of this 1516-nucleotide long non-coding RNA. RefSeq lists it as uncharacterized. The record is from RefSeq and is a predicted model, not a curated record. The transcript is spliced from 4 exons. NCBI's taxonomy places the organism in Eukaryota, Viridiplantae, Streptophyta, Magnoliopsida, Fabales, Fabaceae.